UUCUCAUCCAAUGACAGGCCUCGUUCUAUGAUGACAUCAUCCCACAAGUUCCAGUGUUAAAAUUGGGCUCCCGAGUUCUUCGUCCUUUUCUACGGGGAAAUGUGUGUGAAGGAUGACCCUUCCCUUUCAGUCUGGAGACGUAGAGAAGGACAUCAUGUAAACCACGUUUUUGUCUUUAAAUCUAAACCAUUAACAAAUGAAAUGAAAUUAGUAUUAUCUGAAGGAAUGUACAAAUACCUGCGUAAAGACUAGAUAAUUUUACAGUAAAGUUAAACACUGGGAGUUUUUCUCAAGCACUCAGUAGGCUAGAGUAAUAGGUAGUAAUGCAGGAAGAAAGAUAAGGCACGAGAACCUUUUAAUACAGUAGGGCCAUCAUGUCACUCCCGAAGAAUAACGUCUAAAAUCCGAGAAGUGAACCUUUUGUGGAAAGUCAUGUGAAAAUCUACUAUUUUGUGAGCUACUUAAAAAUAGACAAAAGAGCUUAAAAUGGAGGUACCCUGAAUGUGUGGAUAGUGCUGCUCCCAGACCAUGGGUUUUAGAAUUAAGAACACAGUGCCACACACAAGAUACCACCCUGUGGAUUGUUGGCCAGAGAGAUCUCAGAGGAUUCUCAAAUAAUGCAAUUGUCAUUCCUCCUGGUUGGCCCCCCAAAACAGAUGGUAAGUCUCCGUUCCUGAAGAUACCACAUAUCUCAGUUACAGGGUACAGAGAAACCAUCGUAGAACAAAGCUGGGGGCUCCUUCCCUUCUAGUGACCAUUCAUUGUGCCAGGAGGUACACAGACUUCUGCUGGAAAAGCAGAGUAGUCAGUGGUCAUACCAAGCUCUAGAGCCAGUGUGAUAAGUUAGUGACCUGCCAGGCCAGGUUUGCCACUGAGGCAAUGCUGACAUGAGUGUUAUGGAGUAACCAACUGCUCUGCAAUCAGAUUUGAGGCCUCUACACAGGAAGGCAUGCACACAGGAUAUGUGAGCUUCCUCAAAACGGUAAAUGGAUGUGUUGUCCAACUGCUUUCUUUUGUACACCUAGACUAGAGCAGCUUCCCGCCUUGGCCAGAGAAUCUACUUUUUACAGAAGUCAACCAUUCGUGCAGAGACUCAUCUGGCCGGAGUAUGAAGGGUAAGUGAGAACUGUAUGCUCAGCCAUGAAUCAGAGAAGAAACGGCAGAAUGUAGGAACGAGUGAGGAGGAUUGCUGUAAACUGCCUUCUGGUUAUGACAGGUCUGUACUGAUCAUAAGCAAAGAGCAGCCAAGGACACCUGCACAAGACGCCUUCAGCAUCCACCAGGGAUGGGGAGCUGCCAUGACACCCAACCCCCUUUGUGAGAGUUGAUGGUUUCCAAUCGAGAGGGCAGCAUUUUCCUCAGUGUUGCAGCCACUGAUAAAUACAGUUGUGGCUAUUGAUUUAAUAUCCCACAAGACUCUGACUGGCUCUGGUUGGGAAGACACUAUAUGGUAAUAAUGCAAAUACCUCAAAUUCAAUAUUUUAAACAAAAAAAUGUACUGAGUGCACUGAAAGAGUGUCUCCUGGACUGCUGCCUGCAGCCUAAGGCGGUAGGUUUUAGUUUUGUCUAUUUACUUAUUACUCAUACAGAGGCUCAUGUGAAUAGCACUGCUUCAAACUCACUAUGUAGCUGGAAAUGACCUUGAGCUCCUAGUCCUUCUCCCCCAUCUCCUCGGUCCUGAGAUUUCCGGUACAUGCCAACAUGCCUGGGAAAAUGCAUAUCUGAAGACUUCAUGUCUUCAUGAUACUUCACCAAUCUAUUCAAUCGCCUGGUUGACUUUGCUAUAUAGUAAUUUAAAGGGUGUUUUUAUUUUAUGCACAAUGUGUAUAAAGUAAGAUUCUUAAUAAAUGACUCAGUAACACAGCACCACGAUCAAGAACAGAGGAUUCAUUCCUGACUCUUGACCUUUCUUCCAGAGGACUUGGGUUCGAUUCCCAGCAUCCACGUAUCAGCUCAGAACCACAAUCCAGAAAAUGGAAAACUCAAUCCAGAAAGUGAGAGAUUUCUUGCUUGGUUUGAAGUAGGUGAAUCCACUUCUAGUCUGGACCUAUGACGUGGGAAGACACACGCCAUUAACCCAGACCUUGAAGUGAGAAGACACGCCUUUAAUAUGGGCCACACCUUUUGCUGGACAUCUAUAUAAGGAGAGAGAAGAAGAAAGCUUUUGCUCUUUGCCUUUUUGCCCUCACCUUGCUAGCACGUCCAUCCCUUCACUGGCAGGAGAGCCUACGUGUUUGAGAUCCCAGCAUCUACUGAAGAGCAACUGAGGCAUCCCGCUUUGUGAACUGAACACUACUGGAUUCUUGGACUUUGCGUCCACAGCCAGCCAUUGUUGGAUUAGCUGGAUGGCAGCCUGCCUUACACAGAGAGAGGCAGCACCUUCUGCCCCACCCUGCUCAGUUCAGAAGACACUGGUAGCGUCAUUUAAGCACUGAAGCAAAUAACACAGCGUACUGCAAGUCAGAGGAGCUUAAGUGGGACUCCAACUAAUCUUUUUUAAGGUGUGUCUGUGCACCUGCCGGAGCUGCACUCAGAGGCCAGAAGAGGGUGUCCAAUCUCUUCUUAGAGCUGGAGCCGCAGACAGCUGUGAGCUGUUCUGUGGGUGCGGGGAAUAGAACUCUGGGCCUCCGGAAGAGCAGUCCUUACUCUUAUCCACUGAGCCAUCUCUCCAGCCCCAGAUUCUACUUAAUCUUAAGGACAAGUGUCAUCUGAGUCCCCUUACAAGAAGUGUGCAAACUAAUGGAUCUCAUAGAAAAGAGAGUAAAACGGAAAUAAGGGGGGAGUAUAGAGUUUCAGUUAUACAGGAUAGCAAUUUCUAGAAGUCUACUAUGAAACACUGUGCUUAUUAACAGUUUUAAAUUCUGCUCUUAAAACUUACUAAGAUGGCAGAUUUCAUGCCAAGUGUUUACACCAUGAAAAAUAGUUCGAGCAGAAUAGUUUCAGAUAGAAAAUGGUUAGAUGAAGUUAUUAGCUGUACAGAAGACUUGUUCUUAAUCUUACUGGUGUAAAGGGAUAGACCUUUGGGGCAGUAAAGAAUCCCACGUACUUGGACCCCCCAAAGGUCUUGUUCUAUGAGGCCCUAACUUGUGUGGCUGCUUAAUUUCUUCAAAACUAAAAUUACAUGUUUCGAUUUACAUUAUUUUUGGUGAGGGCUAUCUUUCAUAAUAACCAUUUUACCUAAAAAAUUAAAACCUCCAUUGUUUUUCUUUUUAACGGUUUCCCUUUGAUAUGGGACAAUGGCAUCCAUAGAGUCUUCCUGUUCCUCUUUCUAAUAUUUGAAGGUAUCACAGGACAGUGAACAAAAAGAAACUGGACACAGUUCAGAUCGUAAAAGGCUUAACAGAGACAUUAGUGUUAUGUGGCCGCUCAAAUAUUUUCUAAUCCCAAAUGAGAACUUCCUUAUUUAUACUAAAAGAAAAUGCCUGGUCUUUGAAAGAUCUGAGAAACACUUGGAUUUUGUUUGGGGUUGUUGUGGUUUGGUGUUUUGUUUUGUUUUGUUUUUCGUCGCCCCACCCCUCCCCUCCAAAGCUUCUGAGUCCUGGAAGAAGGCGGAAGCGUGGAAUCAACGUCUUUGUGCAUGGGCUGAACUGAAUCAAGCAAACAUUGUUGUAAUCAUUUGCGCAGUGACAGAUCAAUUAGGCAGAGUCCAAGGCACAGCACAAUGUUUAUGGCCCUCCUCCUUCCUGGAACAGUGCAAACCACCGCCUGGCAGACAGCCUGAGACCGGUUGCUUUCCUAAGUAAACUGACCUUUUCUUUGGCUUGGAGUAUCAGUUAAGCUAGCCAUAGAUGAGGCUGUACAACGUGCAGGGAACCAUAGCGACAGAGCACACGGUACCGCGGCCACAUUCUGCAACAGCACCAGGACCAUCGCCAAGGCUCUGUGUCACUGCCACCUGGCCUUGAAUUUCUCAGGAUGACCUCCCCCAUUGCUGGCACAGGAGGCGCUCAGUCAAUACGCCCGAAUCCAGAUAAAGCACACCAAGCCAACCGGGU
RNAcentral lists this small RNA (3995 nucleotides) under Rattus norvegicus (Norway rat). RNAcentral describes it as "uncharacterized LOC102554736". Lineage: Eukaryota; Metazoa; Chordata; Mammalia; Rodentia; Muridae. The record is from RNAcentral.